GCCAGGGCCUGCUGCUCUAAGGCUUGCUCCCACUGUACACAUUUUGGUCUCUCUUUGGUUUCUUCUCUGCCAACGUGUGAAACUUGCCUUAGAUCAGAGUUGAUGCACUGACUGACUAACUGACAGGCCACCCUGAAAAACUGCCAACCCAGGCUGGGGUUUGGAUAGCAAAAUAUGAGGCUGGAAACCGCCUGAGAACUGAGCUCAGCUCCCUCUACUGAGAUGGGCCUCUGUCCAACCUACAAGAAAUGAAGAACAGUGGCCAUUCAGCCAACCAGGAGUUCAUUUCCAAAUAAUCCUUCCCACGACCUCGACAGAGUCCCCAAGCACAGCUCUGCAGGGGCAUGUUCCAGAGGCCUGUGGAGCCCCACACCCCGGCCUGGCAGCCCCCAGCCCUGACUGCUGCCUGCUGCCCUCCUGCUGUGGCUAGCCAAGGAGAGGAGAGUUAUGUUCAAGUUGGCUUCAGUGUGGUGACAGCUGUACCAGCUCCAUGCCUCACACAUAAUGGAUCCAAGUACCCUUCUCACUCUCGGAAAGAGAAGAAAGCACUCUCGUCCUCUCUCUGGACAGAUGAAGAUUCUUCCCUCAGUAACCCAGGAGAACAUUUCUUAUGAGCUCUGAAGAAGAAUCGAAGCUGCCAGGCACAUUUUAUGGGUCAUAUGCAAUUGAUUUCCUGACUCCUGCCUUCACUGAAAAUCACUAAACUGUGAUAGAAAAAAAAUUAUGU
Molecule: long non-coding RNA, 727 nt
Filed under: Ictidomys tridecemlineatus (thirteen-lined ground squirrel)
Lineage: Eukaryota; Metazoa; Chordata; Mammalia; Rodentia; Sciuridae
Description: lncRNA (ENSSTOG00000032650.1)
Source: RNAcentral